RNAcentral lists this ribosomal RNA (164 nucleotides) under uncultured bacterium. RNAcentral describes it as "partial 16S ribosomal RNA". It matches the Rfam family "Bacterial small subunit ribosomal RNA", at positions 355 to 511 of the family's 1533-position model. The record is from RNAcentral.
UAGGGAAUCUUCCACAAUGGACGAAAGUCUGAUGGAGCAACGCCGCGUGGGUGAAGAAGGGUUCCGGCUCGUAAAGCUCUGUUGUUAAAGAAGAACACGUAUGAGAGUAACUGUUCAUACGUUGACGGUAUUUAACCAGAAAGUCACGGCUAACUACGUGCCAG